UUCAGGAAUCUGCAUGCCUAGUGCCAGUAUUGUAGCUCUAGCUAGUUUCCGAGAUCUCAGCGUUCAUACGGACAGACGGACAGACGGUCAGACGGACAUGGCUAGAUCGACUCGGCUAGUGAUUUGUAGGGUACAAUGCACGCACGCACGCAUAAGGGUUAAAGUUUGGCUGUAAGUGUUCCUCGCUCGCAUGUACAAAACGUAAAUAGCGGCAUAAUUCCCGAAUUUGCUGGACCGCCUCUCUGUACUGUACGUCUGCCAUCUCGCUCGCACGAUCUGCGCCGCGGCGAUUGAACAUCCGGCGAAAAUCAGUGUGAGCGACGAGACGACGGAAAAUAUCACGCCAUAACGCCGUUAUUCUCCGUCUCUGCGCUCCCUACUUAGAUUCCUGGAAGCGUAGUCAGCCAAGUAGGCCAACUUCUGUGCACAGCUCGAGCACUUGAGUUUCUCUCGCUAAGGCCAGCAGACGUGCGCCCAAAACCAAUAGUCAAAUCAAGCAAGUCUACGGGAAAACUGACCGACAAACGGUACCAUAGUGCGGCAAGGGGCAACCUGUACAAUAAUAGCUAAAGUGAAUAGUGCAAAACCAUAGUCUGAGAACCCACCCCCCCGCAAUCGAUCUCUUAACAGGCGCUAAGUCCCUGCCGCUCAGUGUAUGCUGGCGCUGAUAUCGUCGAACGAUUGCAGAGUGGGGGGUGGCUUUUAGGACCCUGGUCGGUUGCCGGCAAUUUAUUGCGAGCGCAUUUAUAAACAAUCAGAGGGAAUUUUCUUCGACUUGGUCAGGUGGUCGGAUCAGCCAUCCAGCGCCCGCUUCUCGGCUUACGUACCGGCAGCGGAGGCGCCUUCAUGAACAGUUAAACGACGCAGACCAAGCCAACACUCACACGUCAGAGACUAUAUGUGUAGUCGGGUAGGUACCCCGCUACCUUAACCCCACCAGGACAUGAGGCCCAGAUAACAGGAGACAUCGGCCGCACGGCGUUGCCAGAUGCGAUUCGGCUGCUGUAUGCUCAGCGGCGGUAACUUUGCGUAGUUUUUAGUUUCUCCUUUUUCUAUUUGCUGUAUUUGAGUACUUUUUUUUGCAUAAAUGUGCUUAUACGAAAUUUCUAACGAUAGUUUUAAAUACGCCCAUUAGGUAAAAAGCUUCUUAUGUAAGCGGGAAGUGCAUCGAAGUUAAUGUUGUAAACAUCACACAUAUACAUAUACAUCAUGUUCUAAUCUACCCUCAAGAAAUCAACGAGAGCUUCAUUGGGCCCAACGAACGCUUCGAUGGAUUUUCCUAUAAAGUACCGAUAGUGAGUAACCCUUAAUGAAUAUUGUAUGAAUAUGUUAGAGCCUUAAUUAUUGUCGAUGCGAAUCCCGCGGUAGCUGAAACCCCUGGCGUAAAUAUAAUAGUAAGAAUUUAUCUAUUUAACCGCCCACUUUAACUUGCAAUGAUUUGCUAUAUAUAUGUAUAUAAUUUAUUAGGGAUAUAAAUCUUGAAGUAUAGCCAAUAAGUAAACGGCACCAGCUGUGCAUUGAUUAUCUAAAACGACCUUUGAAGGGUUUGUUAGAACGUACCGCGCGUUAAGUUAUGAAAUAAAUGAAAACUAUGAAUUCUUUGUAUAACGCUA
Molecule: long non-coding RNA, 1613 nt
Organism: Drosophila subpulchrella
Lineage: Eukaryota; Metazoa; Arthropoda; Insecta; Diptera; Drosophilidae
Exons: 2
Source: RefSeq, a predicted model, not a curated record